AUUAAACGAAACCCCAAAAAACGAUGCUUUUUUUUUUUUUCCUUUCCCCAAACUCGCUCGAAUUUGGCCUAUAAAUUGCAUGUGAAAUCCAUGAAAAUGAUGAUCUCCCCAUCUAUAUGUUUUAUAAAAAGAAAAGGAAGAAAGAAAAAAACCCAUUUUGAUUUAAUCGAUAAAAACGCGUUUGAAGAACAGAAGAGAAAUGUGAAAAGGGCCCUUCACCAGCCACAUCGACCUCCAUGCCUUUUCUUUUGUCUAUAUAAAUCAAAGUUUUCUUUUCUUUUCUGUUCUUUUCUUUUGUUCUGUAGAUGGAUGGAGAUCAAUAUAAUCAGAUAUAGAGCCCACUUUUGUAAAAAUCGAAAGAGGGUCGAAGAAAUUACAAGAGUGCAAAUGUGAAACCUUGAGAUCUUUCUUGUGGAAUUAGAGCAAAAUUUUUGGCAGACAGGGCCAAGCCAGGCAGUACAAAUGGAAGCUACUACUACUACAACAACAACAACAACAAAAAAAGUUCUUGAUUCAAAGAUUCAAGCCAUUCUUGCUGAUGAUCUUAGAAGAAUCUGUAUGAGUUUUUCUUCUUCUUCUUCUUCUUCUUCUAAUUUGGUAAUUUAAUUUCUUCGAACUUUAAUUAAUUGUUGGAUUAUAUAAUUCAUAUAUAUUUAUAUCGCAUAUUGAUGAAA
Molecule: long non-coding RNA, 674 nt
Organism: Cucumis melo (muskmelon)
Lineage: Eukaryota; Viridiplantae; Streptophyta; Magnoliopsida; Cucurbitales; Cucurbitaceae
Exons: 2
Source: RefSeq, a predicted model, not a curated record